UACGUAGGGGGCAAGCGUUGUCCGGAUUUAUUGGGCGUAAAGAGCGUGUAGGCGGCCAGACAGGUCCGUUGUGAAAACUCGAGGCUCAACCUCGAGACGCCGAUGGAAACCGUCUGGCUAGAGUCCGGAAGAGGAGAGUGGAAUUCCUGGUGUAGCGGUGAAAUGCGCAGAUAUCAGGAAGAAUACCCGUGGCUAAGGCGGCUCUCUAGUACGGUACUGACGCUGAGACGCGAAAGCGUGGGGAGCGAACAGG
RNAcentral lists this ribosomal RNA (253 nucleotides) under uncultured bacterium. RNAcentral describes it as "partial 16S ribosomal RNA". It matches the Rfam family "Bacterial small subunit ribosomal RNA", at positions 524 to 776 of the family's 1533-position model. The record is from RNAcentral.